RNAcentral lists this ribosomal RNA (434 nucleotides) under uncultured bacterium. RNAcentral describes it as "partial 16S ribosomal RNA". It matches the Rfam family "Bacterial small subunit ribosomal RNA", at positions 29 to 508 of the family's 1533-position model. The record is from RNAcentral.
AACGAACGCUGGCGGCAUGCCUAACACAUGCAAGUCGAACGAGACCUUCGGGUCUAGUGGCGCACGGGUGCGUAACGCGUGGGAACCUGCCCUUAGGUUCGGAAUAACUCCCCGAAAGGGGUGCUAAUACCGGAUAAUGUCUUCGGACCAAAGAUUUCUCGCCUUUGGAUGGGCGCGCGUUGGAUUAGCUAGUUGGUAGGGUAAAAGCCUACCAAGGCGACGAUCGAUAGCUGGUCGGUGAGGAUGACCAGCCCGACUGGGACUGAGACACGGCCCAGAUUCCUGCGGGAGGCAGCAGGAGGGAAUAUUGGACAAUGGGCGAAAGCCUGAUCAAGCAAGGCCGCGUGAGUGAUGAAGGCCUUAGGGUUGUAAAGCUCUUUUACCCGGGAUGAUAAUGACAGUACCGGGAGAAUAAGCUCCGGCUAACUCCGUGC